RNAcentral lists this ribosomal RNA (93 nucleotides) under Paenibacillus macerans. The record is from RNAcentral. Lineage: Bacteria; Bacillati; Bacillota; Bacilli; Caryophanales; Paenibacillaceae. RNAcentral also lists the same sequence under 5 other names.
CCACGCGUACCCAUCCCGAACACGACCGUUAAGCCCUCCAGCGCCGAUGGUACUUGGACCGAAGGGUCCUGGGAGAGUAGGACGCCGCCAAGC